UACGGAGGAUGCAAGCGUUAUCCGGAAUGAUUGGGCGUAGAGCGUCCGCAGGUGGCAAUGUAAGUCUGCUGUCAAAGCGUCUGGCUCAACCAGAUAAAGGCAGUGGAAACUACAUAGCUAGAGUAAGGUAGGGGUAGAGGGAAUUCCUGGUGUAGCGGUGAAAUGCGUAGAGAUCAGGAAGAACACCGGUGGCGAAAGCGCUCUGCUGGACCUUAACUGACACUGAGGGACGAAAGCUAGGGGAGCGAAUGGG
RNAcentral lists this ribosomal RNA (253 nucleotides) under uncultured bacterium. RNAcentral describes it as "partial 16S ribosomal RNA". It matches the Rfam family "Bacterial small subunit ribosomal RNA", at positions 524 to 776 of the family's 1533-position model. The record is from RNAcentral.